RNAcentral lists this ribosomal RNA (248 nucleotides) under uncultured bacterium. RNAcentral describes it as "partial 16S ribosomal RNA". It matches the Rfam family "Bacterial small subunit ribosomal RNA", at positions 123 to 353 of the family's 1533-position model. The record is from RNAcentral.
AACCUGCCCUUCAGAGGGGGACAACAGUUGGAAACGACUGCUAAUACCGCAUACGAUCUAAACUCGGCAUCGAGGAUGGAUGAAAGGUGGCCUCUAUUUAUAAGCUAUCACUGAAGGAGGGGAUUGCGUCUGAUUAGCUAGUUGGAGGGGUAACGGCCCACCAAGGCGAUGAUCAGUAGCCGGUCUGAGAGGAUGAACGGCCACAUUGGGACUGAGACACGGCCCAGACUCCUACGGGAGGCAGCAUG